Molecule: long non-coding RNA, 291 nt
Organism: Sphaeramia orbicularis (orbiculate cardinalfish)
Lineage: Eukaryota; Metazoa; Chordata; Actinopteri; Kurtiformes; Apogonidae
Exons: 3
Source: RefSeq, a predicted model, not a curated record
AAUUAGUUGUUUUAGCAGUUACAAGAGCCAUAUGUCAGCAAAAUCAUACCAAAAAAAGGUGUAUUUAUAACUUAUAUAAAUGCUUCUAUUUGACAUGCACGUUUGUCAUCUAAGAAGGUGGGACAAGAAAAAAUGCCAUUUUAGGAGGAGUUUGAGAUCUUUUUGGUAUUUUGAAUAUUUUGGAACACAUUCUACUACAACUAUAUUUAUAUUUUGUUUCAAGACAACAAUAAUUUUCACAACAAGUGCAUGUGUUGGUGUUUUAUGCAUGGAUUUUUUGAAUUUGGCCGU